UCUAAUAUGGCAGAUAAGUGCAAUGGGUUUAAGCUCCAAAUAUAAAGUAAAAUAACUAUACUUUUAUUAGAA
RNAcentral lists this transfer RNA (72 nucleotides) under Protagonista lugubris. RNAcentral's name for it is "tRNA-Leu". The record is from RNAcentral. Lineage: Eukaryota; Metazoa; Arthropoda; Insecta; Blattodea; Blattidae.